Molecule: non-coding RNA, 198 nt
Filed under: Candidatus Equinaster intestinalis
Lineage: Bacteria; Bacillati; Bacillota; Clostridia; Eubacteriales; Acutalibacteraceae
Description: 6S RNA
Rfam family: 6S / SsrS RNA
About the family: E. coli 6S RNA was the first non coding RNA to be sequenced, but its function was unknown until recently. It consists of 184 nucleotides that fold into an extended hairpin structure with a large single-stranded internal bulge. The 6S RNA specifically associates with RNA polymerase holoenzyme containing the sigma70 specificity factor.
Source: RNAcentral
CCGUUCCUGCCCUGUUCGCGGACUGUUCUAUUAUAACCCUACAAGCUACUUUUCGGGGUCCGGCUUGUGCGGCGGGAUGCAGACCUCCCGUUUAUUCCAUCGAGUUUAAACGGAAGAAGGGAGCGCAAAACCGCACACACGACACCCACCUGCCAUACGCAGGUUAUCUUUAGCGCAUUACGGCAGGGCGGGAGCAAG